GACGAACGCUGGCGGCGUGCUUAACACAUGCAAGUCGAACGGAAAGGCCCUGCUUUUGUGGGGUGCCCGAGUGGCGAACGGGUGCGUAACACGUGAGUAACCUGCCCUUGACUUUGGGAUAACUUCAGGAAACUGGGGCUAAUACCGUAUAGGAGCCCCUGCUGCAUGGUGGGGGUUGGAAAGUUUCGGCGGUCGGGGAUGGACUCGCGGCUUAUCAGCUUGUUGGUGGGGUAGUGGCUUACCCAGGCUGUGACGGGUAGCCGGCCUGAGAGGGUGACCGGCGACAUUGGUACUGAGAUACGGCCCAGACUCGUACGGGAGGCAACAGUGGCGAAUAUUGCACAGUGAGCGCAAGCCUGAGGCAGAGACGCCGCGUGCGUGAUGCCGGCCUUCGGGUUAUGAACCGCUUUCGCCUGUGACGAAGCGUGAGUGACGGUAAUGGGUGAAGAAGCACCGGCUAACUACGUG
RNAcentral lists this ribosomal RNA (468 nucleotides) under uncultured bacterium. Its description in RNAcentral is "partial 16S ribosomal RNA". It matches the Rfam family "Bacterial small subunit ribosomal RNA", at positions 28 to 507 of the family's 1533-position model. The record is from RNAcentral.